This 1432-nucleotide long non-coding RNA is filed under the name Nicotiana benthamiana. RNAcentral's name for it is "long non-coding RNA (NBEN_LNC035191)". The record is from RNAcentral. Lineage: Eukaryota; Viridiplantae; Streptophyta; Magnoliopsida; Solanales; Solanaceae.
AUUUUAUUUUUGAAAAGGAUUUUCGGAUUUUUUAUUUUUGGGGUCCACAUGGUUUUGGACGUUACUUGGAGAAGAAGAUUCUAGAGGGAUAUAUAUAUUGGGGUUCUUAGACAGAAUUUGGGGCUUUGGAGAGAAUUUUCGGAAAAAACAGAGAGAGAUUGGGAUGGAGUCUUCGGGGAAAGAAAACUAGGGUUCGUGGGUUUUGGCUUUCUUCUCAGAUUUUUCUGUUAAUUAGCAUUCCAGAAAAUUAAAAAUACAAAAAUAGUUCAAUUUUCAUUUUUGUUCGAGUCCUUGUUUCAUUUCGAAAAAUCAAAAAAUUCCCCAAAAUUCUUUUUGUUUCUUUUGUUGGUUUUGGUUUUCAACUAUGGAUUUUGAUUGAGGUUUACCGUGGAGUCGAGGUCGUUCGAGCUGCUCGAUGCUUAUAAAUCGAGGUUCGUUUGUGGUUUCGUUCGUGCCGAGAAAUUCAGUCUAAUUUCAGUUCGAGUUAUAGUUGCAGCUUCUGCUUAAAUUUGUUGACGUACUCCAUUGUAUUAGACCUCAAGAAUUAAUUAAAACUUGUAGCAUUCAGGUUUGUCUCUCAUCUUCUUCUGUUCUUUUACUGUUAUUAAUGUUGAAUAAAGCUUUGGGAAAGCCAUUUUAAGAUACGGUUUGAAUUAUAUGAGCUGUAAAUGAGUGUUGAUUUCUUGCUUUAAGAUAUUUAGACACUAUUGUUAAUAUUAAAAUUUGUUUUGAUUUCAUUAGGAUCAUGCUUGGGUAUUCUGCAUAUUGUUGAGUUUUUUCCAUGUUUUGACCCCAACGUGUGUAUCGAUCCUCAGAAGAUUGUUGAUAUGGAUCCGUAGUGAUUGUGGCUGUUUGUUUUAUUUAAUCGCUUUCUAGUGGAUCGUUCAGCUUAUGAAUGAGUUAAAUAUGUGUUUCAUGUCCAUAUUUCCAACACUUUCAAAUAUGAUUUUUAAUUGGGUUUUUGAACUACUUCGUUACGGGUAAACUCAAUUUGUAUGUUAUUUAGUCCAUGGUUUUUGUUUGGUCUAUGCUUAUCUGUUUCUUCAGUAAAUUAUGUGAUUCAUGAGGGGUUAUUCACUUUUAUCCCUCUAUGAGUCAUUAAUAUAGUUACUAAUGAGAUUAUAUAUCACUAUUUCAAAUUGUGAUAGUUGGGUAAAUUGAGUGUCAAAACAAAUUCUCAACACAUGCUUUUUUCCUAAUUUUAAUGCUUUUUUUUUAAAACUUAGCUUGUGAUGAACUCUGCUUCUAAACUCAUAUCUUCUUUCCUACUCAUUUGAAUGGUCAUGGAAGUCAUUUUUUUUAUUUUAUUUUGGUUGUGCUAAUUUAACAAUGAACUGAUAAACUCUUGGUAGCAAUGUUUCUUUUAGAUUUUCAGAACAUUAGUAGUUAGUCAAAUAGUUUGAAAACUCUUUGUCUUUGCCUUCUUACUGUU